RNAcentral lists this long non-coding RNA (615 nucleotides) under Lathyrus oleraceus (garden pea). RNAcentral describes it as "Pisum sativum (pea) long non-coding RNA (PSAT_LNC000967)". Lineage: Eukaryota; Viridiplantae; Streptophyta; Magnoliopsida; Fabales; Fabaceae. The record is from RNAcentral.
UUGGUUAGGUUAACAAACAAGGGUCAUUUCUAAGGCCAUUGAAACGAAAGUGCCGAUGCAAAAGAGACAUUCACAGUAUUAUUCACACUACUCGACUUUGUUUCAUUUGUUUCUUAUUUGAAACCUUCACAACACAUAUUCCACAACUCAAUUUUUAUUUUUCACUAUUUUUCUUCCAAGCAAGCAUUCAUUUUCAUUUUUUCUAUUUUUGUUCUUUUCUUUCACAUCAAAUAUACAAAACAGAUGUUUCUUUUCUAUAUUUUCUAUACAUAUAUUUUUCUAUGCUUGCUCGGUUUUUCUUUUCUUUUUCAAGAGUUGUGGUACUUACCAAUUCUUUUUCGUUCUCCCCAACUUAUUUCUUCCACACCCUAAGUGAAUGCUCUUAACUUUUUACGGCAAAAGAACAAUAAUCAAGAUUUUCCGGGUUGUAAAAAAAAGAUUUUUGAGAUCUCGCUUUAUUUCAAGCCGAGAUUCAACUGUUCAGGCUCAAAGGGGUUAACAAAUACUCUCUCUGCUCACAGGUAAGUUGUUUUUGGAUGUAGUUGUGCUCGAAAGAAAACAAGUGCCUUGAUCAUUUCUAAUUGCUUCCACAAUUUCACAAUAAUAAAAGACAAA